AGGACAGGACAAGGGCGCCUGUUGUUCCAACGGAUAUCUCGCAUCCGGUGCUCAGCCAUUGGCUGGCGGCGUUCAGCCAUUGACAGGCAGUCGAAUCCUGGUGGCCACUUGGGGCAGGACAAAGGUGCAUCAGGCUGCAGUUGACCCAGCGUCUGCGUCCCUUGAACGCGUCACCCUAUACGUAACUUAACGCUACAUUGUUUUACUCGACUAUUCUGUCUUUAUCUCCAACCUGCUGAUGACGCUACGUGCCACUCAAACCUCAGUGGCCAUUUCCUUCUGUAAACGUCCUGUUUGAAGCUACACUGGAAAGAGAGCCAUAACUGCAAAACCGACUCCUGCAGAGCCCAGAGGAAGGCCCCUGUGCACAGAAAAAAAAUAAAAAAAUGAUCAAAUUGAAAUGAAGCCGUAGACCCUUGCUGCUGUGGGAGAUGAACUGCGUCUGGAUUGUCAAACAGAGGACGCAUCUCACUGUGCAGCACGUCAUCUGUCACUGAGUCACGCGCUGUUGCUGCAUAGCCUAGGAUGAUCCUUUGGGUGAGUGUGAAUUCACAGCUGUCAGCUAUUCCCUCUCAUUCUGUGACCAUUUUUGGCAAAAUUUUAAAUCCCUAAACAUGACAGAUGAAUGUGGUGGAAUUUACACGACAGAUAGGUGAGGAAUGAUGCAAUGGUUGUAAUCCUGUUAAGUAGUAGGCAGGUGCUAUGUGAGUUCUCGGUGUAGCCUUAAAUCUUUGUCAUAGCGGAUUACAGG
Molecule: long non-coding RNA, 751 nt
Organism: Phycodurus eques (leafy seadragon)
Lineage: Eukaryota; Metazoa; Chordata; Actinopteri; Syngnathiformes; Syngnathidae
Exons: 3
Source: RefSeq, a predicted model, not a curated record